Molecule: long non-coding RNA, 599 nt
Organism: Syzygium oleosum
Lineage: Eukaryota; Viridiplantae; Streptophyta; Magnoliopsida; Myrtales; Myrtaceae
Exons: 2
Source: RefSeq, a predicted model, not a curated record
CAUCUUUACGCAGCCACGCAGUGAGCACAGAGCGAACUAUUCUUUCGCCUUUUACUAAAGAAUACCGUGUGCUCGCUGCAUAUAGUGGCAUACGCCAAUUUUUGGAGGGAUCUCUACCUAUAAGGUGGAGGCCCAACAACGCCAGUUUUGAAAUCGUCACAAGACCACCUCAAGAAGACCUUUUCUCGAGGAACAACUCAUUAAAAUUAUCGAGACAAGGCAAUGUACAUGGUCUCAAUUUGACCCCCAAGCCAUAUCAACUAGAUAACAUCAAAGCUCAGAUGGACCACAGCUCCCGAUCCCCUGCGAGGAAAGACAACACGAACAAAGAUAUGCCCAUGGAUAGAAUUCAGCUGCGCUCCCUCCCGCAAAUCAAAACCAGCCAGGAACCUUCAUGUUGCUUCACUAACCCAUGCAGCUAUCAGUCGGAGGCCGGCACAGAAACUUCGUAACGUGAUUUUAUAUUUGGUCGGAUAUCAAACUUCAUCGUUUUGUUUCAUUGGUAAACGUCAACAUUCUAUGCAUCAUAUUUUCAUGUACUGUCUUUUUUGCAACAUUUUCAUAAUUUAUGUAUGAAUAAAGAUUUAAUUUUCGAGGAA